GACGAACGCUGGCGGCGUGCCUAAUACAUGCAAGUUGAGCGAUGAAGCUUGGUGCUUGCACCAAUUUGAAGAGCAGCGAACGGGUGAGUAACGCGUGGGGAAUCUGCCUUUGAGCGGGGGACAACAUUUGGAAACGAAUGCUAAUACCGCAUAACAACUUUAAACAUAAGUUUUAAGGUUGAAAGAUGCAAUUGCAUCACUCAAAGAUGAUCCCGCGUUGUAUUAGCUAGUUGGUGAGGUAAAGGCUCACCAAGGCGAUGAUACAUAGCCGACCUGAGAGGGUGGUCGGCCAACAUGGGAAUUGGACACGGCCCAAGAUUCUUCGGGAGGGAGCCGGAGGGGAUCAUUGGCAAUGGGCGAAAGGCUGACCCCAGAAAGCCGCGGGAGGUGAGGAGGGCUUCGGAUCGUAAAAGUCUGUUGGUAGGGAAGGAAGAUCAGCAGGGUGAAAAGCUGAUCAAGUGACGGUAACUACAGAGAAAGCGACGGCUAACUACGUG
This 497-nucleotide ribosomal RNA is filed under the name uncultured bacterium. RNAcentral describes it as "partial 16S ribosomal RNA". It matches the Rfam family "Bacterial small subunit ribosomal RNA", at positions 28 to 507 of the family's 1533-position model. The record is from RNAcentral.